RNAcentral lists this long non-coding RNA (864 nucleotides) under Homo sapiens (human). Its description in RNAcentral is "non-protein coding lnc-ENTPD7-1:1". The record is from RNAcentral. Lineage: Eukaryota; Metazoa; Chordata; Mammalia; Primates; Hominidae.
GCCGGCCUGGGCCGGUCAUCCCUGGCUGGCGCGACCCGCAGCCUGUCCGGGAAGCCGUUGCGACAUGCGGGCUGGGAACCGCCUCACCUCCAGGGGGGACCGCGGCGGCCCGCUAGACUCUGGUCGGGUCUGGAGUAUUGGGCCCUCUGGCCGGACUCGGUGCUCCUCAGGCCCCAGCGCCCGGCACUGAGCCUCGCAUCCACAUUCGCAGAGUAAACCCAACAAGUGUUGAAUGAAUGAGGUUCCCCGGGCCCCGGCUGUCACUGGGCUCUGCGCCAGGCCAAGAGCCGAAGGCGGGGGAGGAAGAUGUCGAAAUGGGCGGGAUGAUUCACAGAUGACGGCCGGUGGCGAGGCGGGGCUGGAGGCCGCAUCCCAAAGGCAGCAGGGAAGUGCGGCGGCUGUGGGGAAGCUCGGACGCACGGCCUGGCCGAGUCUGAAGCAUCAGUAUUUUGUCCCUGAGCCGGCGCGCUGAUGGGUCCCCCGCCUGGCGAUGAGGGCUUCUCCCUCCCUCGGGUCAGCCCGGGUCCUGAGAGGCAAGGCCAGCGAUUCCCGGCCUUAGGACCUCCUGCUCUAGGGAGCACGGGCGUCUUCUUCCAUUUGCCUUCCCCGAGCGUGUUGGCACAAGCUGCCCGCGGUUUCCAGCUCUGUCUUCUCUGUUUUACCCAGAUGAUGCAACUGUGGACUUCUCCAUCUGUUCAUAGGUUUUCCUUGGAUAGGAAAGAUGUUUUCCUUUUUUCUUUCUAAAGUUUAGCUCUUCUCUGGGCUUCCUUUUUAAAAACUUUUUCUACUCUCUUCAGCAGUUGUUAUUAACCUUUAGGUCGCGACCGUUUGGAAAAUAAUAAAACUACGAAUUCUCUUCUCCUA